This 232-nucleotide ribosomal RNA is filed under the name uncultured bacterium. RNAcentral describes it as "partial 16S ribosomal RNA". It matches the Rfam family "Bacterial small subunit ribosomal RNA", at positions 57 to 305 of the family's 1533-position model. The record is from RNAcentral.
GCAAGUCGAGCGCACUUUUGGUCUUCGGAUUAGAAGCGAGCGGCGGACGGGUUAGUAACGCGUGGGAACGUACCCUUUUCUAAGGAAUAGCCUCGGGAAACUGAGAGUAAUACCUUAUACGCCCUUCGGGGGAAAGAGUUAUCGGAGAAGGAUCGGCCCGCGUUAGAUUAGAUAGUGGGUGGGGUAAUGGCCUACCAAGUCUACGAUCUAUAGCUGGUUUUAGAGGAGGAGC